This 383-nucleotide ribosomal RNA is filed under the name uncultured eukaryote. RNAcentral describes it as "SSU rRNA". It matches the Rfam family "Eukaryotic small subunit ribosomal RNA", at positions 592 to 972 of the family's 1831-position model. The record is from RNAcentral.
CAAUAGCGUAUAUUAAAGUUGUUGCGGUUAAAAAGCUCGUAGUUGGAUUUCUGCCGAGGACGACCGGUCCGCCCUCUGGGUGAGUAUCUGGUUCGGCCUGGGCAUCUUCUUGGAGAACGUAUCUGCACUUGACUGUGUGGUGCGGUAUCCAGGACUUUUACUUUUGAGGAAAUUAGAGUGUUUCAAGCAGGCACACGCCUUGAAUACAUUAGCAUGGAAUAAUAAGAUAGGACCUUGGUUCUAUUUUGUUGGUUUCUAGAGCUGAGGUAAUGAUUAAUAGGGAUAGUUGGGGGCAGUUCGUAUUUAACUGUUCAGAGGUGAAAUUCUUGGAUUUGUUAAAGUACGGAACUACUGCGAAAGCAAUUUGCCUAAGGAUGUUUUCA